Long non-coding RNA from Culex quinquefasciatus (southern house mosquito), 839 nucleotides. RefSeq lists it as uncharacterized. The transcript is spliced from 2 exons. The record is from RefSeq and is a predicted model, not a curated record. NCBI's taxonomy places the organism in Eukaryota, Metazoa, Arthropoda, Insecta, Diptera, Culicidae.
UGCGACAACAGAUCCGUUUACAUCGAAUGUUUUCAAAUUUGAUAACAAAGUUUUCAAAAAUGCUUACAUUGUUAUCACUUUUGACUACAAUCUAUGCUACAAUGCAUUGCAAUGUUGCCUACCUAAAGGCGCAUCCAUUCUUGAGUACCUUUUAUGCGUUACGCAUCUGUCAAAUCUCAGUAAGCCGUGGAGAGAACAACAUAAACAAAACAAAUAAUCGAAUAAAAAAAACUCGUUCCAGUUAGUUCCAAGUUCAGCACGUAAAGGAAUGGCGCUUACAGCUGCAGGAGCCGAGCAGUGAACAGUGCUCGAUCCGGAUGUUUCGCACGAAACUGCUGGAAUGGAACCGUCUGCCAACUCGUCCAACGCUGUGGCGUUGGCGAUUCCACGACCACGGUGAAAGAGGACGUUCUACAGGACGGCCACCAAAGGCGGCGGUCAAGUUUGAAACGUUCACAUCAGUCGGGCUGCGGAAUCGGUUCUGGACAUGCUUCUGCUCCAGUGCCAAUUAAAAACAUCAGCACCAAGCUCAACACUUCCCAAAGCUCCAAGUCUUCUACCAGCGCAGCCAUUUCGGCCGGAAGUGGCAAGCAGACGUGGUUCUACAGCACAAACCGAACAAGCUCAUAGAUAAGAAUUGGAAUUGUUUUAGGUAAGAUUUUUUAGAUCAUAUUCAAAGCCGGGAGAGGCAAAGCUCGUCACACCUUUAUCAUUUAUUUCUAUUUAGAGUUUUUUUUUAUCAAUCACCUGUACCUGUAAUCAUUUUUUGCUAGCUAAGUAUGUUCUUUUUUCUAAACUUUACCUGUAUUAUUUUAAAUACAGAUCUAUCUCAAACUGUU